This 1020-nucleotide long non-coding RNA is filed under the name Felis catus (domestic cat). RNAcentral's name for it is "lncRNA (ENSFCAG00000050946.1)". Lineage: Eukaryota; Metazoa; Chordata; Mammalia; Carnivora; Felidae. The record is from RNAcentral.
AUGGAAGGAUGCUCGCGGCCCCCGGGCCUUAUGUCAGUCACCGCGGUGCGUCAUCGGCACUAUUGGCUCACCAGCCCCCGCGGGAGAGGCCCAGCCCCCACGCCGGUUUCGGCCCCCGGGAGGUGGGUGUCAGGCUUGGCAGGCUCCAGCCACGGCUGCGCCAUCCAAGGGCGGCUUCCUGCCAGGGCCGCUCCCACAGUUACCCAGUGGCUGGUGGCCACCGAGAGACUCACACAGGGCAGGGGCCUCUGGGUUUCCAGGCCCAGGGGCAGGAGUUGGGCAACACGGGGCUCGUCCCAGGGCUUGUCCCUCUCAGUUGGGCUGACGACCCCUCCCGGCCCGGAAACAGCACAGGCCUCGCCCUCCUGCGUUGAGCAAGGCCCCUCCCCCGGGGCCAGCUGCCCGCUGCUUCCUCUGGAAGAGGCUCCCCUGUCUGGGGCUGGGGGGUGCCCCAGCAGGGCUUCUCCUUCAAGAAGCCCCUCCCUCCCGCCGUCCUCGCUGCCCGCCCCCAGCCGCCACAGGCUGCGGAUGCCAGGAUCUCCACCCCCUGCACCCACGUGGGCCCUGGUGGCUUGGCUGGCACUGCCCCCCCCCCCUCCCCGCAGUCUGGCUUUUCCAACUCUGGGCUCCAAAUUUAGGGGGUGGAAACAGGCUCACCGUGGCAGGGCUCCCCGGUUUGCCAUGGCUGGAUGGACCAGAGAGGUCCACGGGGCUCAGCUGCACGCGCCUGUGAGACCCAGGCCUUCCCCAUCGGGGUCACCUCUCCUACCCCCGCCCUCCAGAACGGAGACAAGACGAGGCCGCGUCUGGGGCAGGGGAUUUUCCAUGCCAGCUGUGUUGAGGCUCAGGGGCCGCCAGCUCCGGGCCGUGGCUGGAUGCCCUUCUCUUUUCUCAGGCAGAGUCAUUUGCAUUCCUGGGUACAGCCUGUUCAGUUUCCGUCCCGCCCGGCCCUGUACUCAGAAGAACCAGUUCCGGAGGGUGCGGCUCUGGCCCGUGGGCCCCGGGGAGUCGCCCACUUAG